UAUUCAAAUAAAACAGCCAAAGUCAAGUCUCCAGCAGCAUACAUUUAAUAAAUGUAAUAGUUUUGUUUUAGAAGUAGUAAGUUUAUUCAAAUUAAAAUAUGCAGUUUGAUUGUAGUAUAACUGAAUGUAUAGUAGAUGUCAAUUACAUACAGUAAGCAUCUUUACAUUUUUUUUCUUUCUUUCCGCGAUUCCAGUAUGGCAAUAUGGCGCGAUCAGUCACGUUGACAAGUCGGUCCACACAAAUUCAUCCAUACACAGGACAUUGUCAUCAGCUGUCUGCUUACUUCAAAACAGAAUCUCAGACUGACCUUGCCAGAACAAAAAGGAUGAUGUAUGCUGAGAUGAGAACUAAGGGCUCCUAUGUGAAGGUGACCUGCUUAUAAGAGUCCUUGUGUCUCACCUAUGGAACAGGAUGGAUUUGACCAGAGUGACCACAUCCCGACUGGCGUUAUGACCAGCACACACACAUGCCACGUGAAUCAACUG
Molecule: non-coding RNA, 486 nt
Organism: Paramisgurnus dabryanus
Lineage: Eukaryota; Metazoa; Chordata; Actinopteri; Cypriniformes; Cobitidae
Source: RefSeq, a predicted model, not a curated record